CAAAAUAAAGCUUAAUAGUUAGGCCUUUCAUUUACAUUGAAAAGAUUUCUGUGCAAAUCGGAUUAUUUUGA
Molecule: transfer RNA, 71 nt
Filed under: Kuwayamaea brachyptera
Lineage: Eukaryota; Metazoa; Arthropoda; Insecta; Orthoptera; Tettigoniidae
Description: tRNA-Val
Rfam family: tRNA
About the family: Transfer RNA (tRNA) molecules are approximately 80 nucleotides in length. Their secondary structure includes four short double-helical elements and three loops (D, anti-codon, and T loops).
Source: RNAcentral